Molecule: ribosomal RNA, 235 nt
Filed under: uncultured bacterium
Lineage: Bacteria
Description: partial 16S ribosomal RNA
Rfam family: Bacterial small subunit ribosomal RNA
Source: RNAcentral
CGGGACGGGUGAGUAACGCGUGGGUAACCUGCCUUAUACUGGGGGAUAACAGCCAGAAAUGACUGCUAAUACCGCAUAAGCGCACAGAACCGCAUGGUUCGGUGUGAAAAACUCCGGUGGUAUAAGAUGGACCCGCGUGGAUUAGCUAGUUGGCAGGGCAGCGGCCUACCAAGGCGACGAUCCAUAGCCGGCCUGAGAGGGUGAACGGCCACAUUGGGACUGAGACACGGCCCAG